GACGAACGCUGGCGGCGUGCCUAAUACAUGCAAGUCGAGCGGAUGAAGAAAAGCUUGCUUUUCUGAUUUAGCGGCGGACGGGUGAGUAACACGUGGGCAACCUGCCUGUAAGACUGGGAUAACUUCGGGAAACCGGAGCUAAUACCGGAUAACUCUUCGGACCUCAUGGUCUGAAGAUAAAAGAUGGUUUCGGCUAUCACUUACAGAUGGGCCCGCGGCGCAUUAGCUAGUUGGUGAGGUAACGGCUCACCAAGGCGACGAUGCGUAGCCGACCUGAGAGGGUGAUCGGCCACACUGGGACUGAGACACGGCCCAGACUCCUACGGGAGGCAGCAGUAGGGAAUCUUCCGCAAUGGACGAAAGUCUGACGGAGCAACGCCGCGUGAGCGAUGAAGGUUUUCGGAUCGUAAAGCUCUGUUGUUAGGGAAGAAUAAGUACCAGUUAACUGCUGGUACCUUGACGGUACCUAACGAGAAAGCCACGGCUAACUACGUGCCAGCAGCCGCGGUAAUACGUAAGUGGCAAGCGUUGUCCGGAAUUAUUGGGCGUAAAGCGCGCGCCAGCGGUUCUUUAGUCUGAUGUGAAAGCCCCCGGCUCAACCGGGGAGGGUCAUUGGAAACUGGGGAACUUGAGUGCAGAAGAGGAGAGUGGAAUUCCACGUGUAGCGGUGAAAUGCGUAGAGAUGUGGAGGAACACCAGUGGCGAAGGCGACUCUCUGGUCUGUAACUGACGCUGAGGCGCGAAAGCGUGGGGAGCGAACAGGAUUAGAUACCCUGGUAGUCCACGCCGUAAACGAUGAGUGCUAAGUGUUGGAGGGUUUCCGCCCUUCAGUGCUGCAGCUAACGCAUUAAGCACUCCGCCUGGGGAGUACGGUCGCAAGACUGAAACUCAAAGGAAUUGACGGGGGCCCGCACAAGCGGUGGAGCAUGUGGUUUAAUUCGAAGCAACGCGAAGAACCUUACCAGGUCUUGACAUCCUUUUGCCUUUCCUAGAGAUAGGAAUUUCCCUUCGGGGACAAAAGUGACAGGUGGUGCAUGGUUGUCGUCAGCUCGUGUCGUGAGAUGUUGGGUUAAGUCCCGCAACGAGCGCAACCCUUGUCCUUAGUUGCCAGCAUUGAGUUGGGCACUCUAAGGAGACUGCCGGUGACAAACCGGAGGAAGGUGGGGAUGACGUCAAAUCAUCAUGCCCCUUAUGACCUGGGCUACACACGUGCUACAAUGGAUGGUACAAAGGGUAGCGAGACCGCGAGGUUUAGCCAAUCCCAUAAAGCCAUUCUCAGUUCGGAUUGUAGGCUGCAACUCGCCUACAUGAAGCCGGAAUCGCUAGUAAUCGCGGAUCAGCAUGCCGCGGUGAAUACGUUCCCGGGCCU
This 1369-nucleotide ribosomal RNA is filed under the name uncultured bacterium. RNAcentral's name for it is "bacterial SSU rRNA". It matches the Rfam family "Bacterial small subunit ribosomal RNA", at positions 28 to 1381 of the family's 1533-position model. The record is from RNAcentral.